AGAAGGGCUUCCGCGACGGCGACGUUGAGGAGGCUCUUUUCUUUUGC
Molecule: non-coding RNA, 47 nt
Organism: Rhizobium sp. AC27/96
Lineage: Bacteria; Pseudomonadati; Pseudomonadota; Alphaproteobacteria; Hyphomicrobiales; Rhizobiaceae
Source: Rfam